GGAUAAGCCCCCAGGCCAGCUUCGCUUCUCCACUUAUCUCCCCAACGAUGGCGGCAACAGUAACAGCAUCAACUCUCUCCUCUGCCGCCUCUCUUUCUAUCCGCAUCAAGCCUCGCCUCUCUACUCCAAAACCCAUUAAGUCCUUUCUCUACUCCAAAUCACCCCAAUUUCUCUCCCUUUCUUCCCAUCCCACCACAAUUACCAGAGCCCAAUCCAGCGACAUUGACACUUCCUUCUUCGACAACGUCAAUCCCGAAGGCGAUAUCGUUUUUGACCCGCCAAGCCCCCCAGAAGACUUCGUUCCUCCGCCCUCCUUUGACGAGGGUCCCAUCGAAACCGAGGAAGAAAUCGCCGCUGCUUACGAAGAGCUAUAUGGAGCCGCUUUUAGUGGAGAGAGCGUUUUGGGCAAUGAUGUGUAUGUAAUGGACUCGAAGGUUAAAAAGACAACUGGGUUCGGUUCGAAAGGGAAGAAGGAGAAAAUACGAGAUGGGUUUGAGGAGAGAGUAGUGCAGGUGAGAAGAGUGACUAAGGUGGUUAAGGGAGGGAAACAGCUACAUUUUAGAGCAAUUGUGGUGGUAGGGAAUAAGCAAGGCCAGGUUGGUGUUGGGGUUGGGAAAGCCAAGGAAGUAAUUGCUGCUGUGCUGAAAUCGGCCGUUAAUGCGAGGAGGAACAUCGUUACGGUGCCCAUGACCAAGUACUCGACUUUUCCUCACAGAUCUGAAGGAGAUUAUGGGGCAGCAAAGGUGAUGCUUAGACCAGCCUCACCUGGUACUGGAGUGAUUGCUGGAGGUGCUGUAAGAAUUGUUCUUGAAAUGGCAGGUGUUGAGAAUGCUUUAGGAAAGCAAAUUGGGAGUAAGAAUGCCCUCAACAAUGCCAGAGCUACGGUUGUUGCUGUGCUAAAAAUGAGGCAAUUCCGUGAUGUUGCUCGUGAACGUGGGAUCCCAAUGGAAGAACUGUGGAAAUGAUGGAUAUGGAAGAUGGUUUUUGUUAAAUAAUUUUUUUUUGUCCUUGAAUGUGCAUUAGGUACAAGAAGUUUUUUUAGUUAAAGCCAAUGGAAACAAGAACAAGAUCCAGUCAUUUGUCUUUCUUGCUCAU
RNAcentral lists this unclassified non-coding RNA (1095 nucleotides) under Hevea brasiliensis (rubber tree). Lineage: Eukaryota; Viridiplantae; Streptophyta; Magnoliopsida; Malpighiales; Euphorbiaceae. The record is from RNAcentral.